AUAGAGACUCAGAGCUGCAUAUCAAUAAGCGGAGGAAAAGAAACUAACAAGGAUUCCCUUAGUAACGGCGAGUGAAGCGGGAAGAGCUCAAAUUUGAAAUCUUCAAGGUUCUACCUUGACGAAUUGUAGUUUAAAGAAGUGUUUUCUGUUAGAUGAGUAGCAAAAGUUCCUUGGAAUGGGACAUCAUAGAGGGUGAGAAUCCCGUAUUUGGUUAUUCAUUCUAGCUUUGUGAUACACUUUCAAAGAGUCGGAUUGUUUGGGAAUGCAGUCCAAAAUGGGUGGUAAAUUUCAUCUAAAGCUAAAUAUUGGCGAGAGACCGAUAGCGGACAAGUACCGUGAGGGAAAGAUGAAAAGAACUUUGAAAAGAGAGUUAAACAGUACGUGAAAUUGUCAAAAGGGAAGCGUUUGACACCAGUGUUGUUUUUCCGAAAAUCAAUUACGAAUGGCUUGAUUUUGUGUUGUAUUGACCUUAUCAGCUUUCUGCACUUUUUUCGAGUCUUUCUUAAUGCACUUUUCGGUUAACAAGUCAACAUCAAUUUCUUUUGUUGUAAAAGAGUCAUUGGAAGGUGGCUUUCUUUUCGGAGAAAGUGUUUAUAGCCUUAUGCCUCUACAAUCGGAGAGAUUGAGGUCUGCAGCGUAGAUCCUUCGGGGUUAGAUACACUUUGUGCUAAGUUAGUAGCCUUUCAUAGACAACUUGUUGACUAUGAUUCAGUCAUGUAGGCUUACUCGCUUAGUGCUAUUUUACCUACGCUUAGGAUGUUGACGAUCAGCUGAGCGCG
This 779-nucleotide ribosomal RNA is filed under the name uncultured Neocallimastigales. RNAcentral describes it as "partial large subunit ribosomal RNA". It matches the Rfam family "Eukaryotic large subunit ribosomal RNA", at positions 23 to 648 of the family's 3401-position model. Lineage: Eukaryota; Fungi; Neocallimastigomycota; Neocallimastigomycetes; Neocallimastigales. The record is from RNAcentral.